RNAcentral lists this transfer RNA (73 nucleotides) under Pteropus alecto (black flying fox). It matches the Rfam family "tRNA". Rfam says of the family: Transfer RNA (tRNA) molecules are approximately 80 nucleotides in length. Their secondary structure includes four short double-helical elements and three loops (D, anti-codon, and T loops). The record is from Rfam by way of RNAcentral. Lineage: Eukaryota; Metazoa; Chordata; Mammalia; Chiroptera; Pteropodidae.
UGUUCCAUAGUGUAGCAGUUAGCACGUCUGCUUUACACGUAGAAGGUCCUGCGUUCGUGCCCCAGUGGAUCCA